AUUGAACGCUGGCGGCAUGCCUUACACAUGCAAGUCGAACGGCAGCACGGACUUCGGUCUGGUGGCGAGUGGCGAACGGGUGAGUAAUGCAUCGGAACGUGCCAUUGAGUGGGGGAUAACGUAGCGAAAGUUGCGCUAAUACCGCAUAUUCUGUGAGCAGGAAAGCAGGGGACCGCAAGGCCUUGCGCUCUUUGAGCGGCCGAUGUCAGAUUAGCUAGUUGGUGAGGUAAAGGCUUACCAAGGCGACGAUCUGUAGCGGGUCUGAGAGGAUGAUCCGCCACACUGGAACUGAGACACGGUCCAGACUCCUACGGAGGCAGCAGUGGGGAAUUUUGGACAAUGGGGGCAACCCUGAUCCAGCCAUGCCGCGUGAGUGAAGAAGGCCU
This 386-nucleotide ribosomal RNA is filed under the name uncultured bacterium. RNAcentral's name for it is "bacterial SSU rRNA". It matches the Rfam family "Bacterial small subunit ribosomal RNA", at positions 30 to 417 of the family's 1533-position model. The record is from RNAcentral.